UGCAUAAGCUCGCAGCACAAAAACCAAGAUAUGCCCCAGUUCUCAACAGCUGGAUGCAACUCGCUUAUGGCGGAUCUGUCCAGUGAAAGGGGUGUUUCAUUUUUCGUGCGAGUGACGUGAUGGAGCCCAGGGGUAAACGCAGUUUCAGCGAAUGUACAGGAUGCAAUGACGAAGCAGAAACUAUGCAGAGUUCGAACCGAUGUACCAAGGCACAGCGGCCCAGGUUAACGCCUUGGUCAUUCUUUAAAUGCACUGACCCUGCCCUUGAACCAACAUGACACCAGAAAAAAGCACUCUCGCACCGCCAAUCUUGGUGCAGUGUGUUCUGCUCUGCUCGGAGAUCAACUGUCCUGGUCGUCCUGGUCUCUCGUCGGAUACGAACUGUUAUAUCCUGCACACGGACUGAAUAGGGAACACCUUGUCGAAGGAAACUCGGUAGAAUGAGCUGCAGCUGUGGAGAACAGAGACAUGUCCGUUGCAGCAGUGAAGAUUCCUUGCAGGAGGAGAAGAAUAGGCCACGUGACGCGCCAUUCUCGUGACGUCAAAUGACUUAUAAUGUCACGAAAUGUCAGAACAUUCAUUUCGAAGUUGGGAUCAGCGGAUCUCAGACCCGUGACUAUAAGAAGUACAUUCUUCGAUAUGACGCCGUGUUGUUCGCUUCAUCGAUUUUUCGGAGGACCUUACAGCGCCCAUCUUCAUAGUUGAAGAUAUUCCAAUUAUCUCAGCUUGCUAGAAAUAUCUUCAUCUUUGAAAAUGGAGAGACUGCCCUCUCCGAAACGUCGGUGACAUAUUUACCCGCCUAUAGAGCUUUACAUGUAGAAAUACGACCUGCAGUGUUCUUAUGAAUUUAAAAUUUUAAGAAGAGAAGUUGGCCUGUGUAGUAUAUAAAUGUUCACCCCUCAGCUAGA
Cryptotermes secundus is the source of this 908-nucleotide long non-coding RNA. RefSeq lists it as uncharacterized. The transcript is spliced from 4 exons. Lineage: Eukaryota; Metazoa; Arthropoda; Insecta; Blattodea; Kalotermitidae. The record is from RefSeq and is a predicted model, not a curated record.